This 73-nucleotide transfer RNA is filed under the name Cavia porcellus (domestic guinea pig). It matches the Rfam family "tRNA". Rfam says of the family: Transfer RNA (tRNA) molecules are approximately 80 nucleotides in length. The record is from Rfam by way of RNAcentral. Lineage: Eukaryota; Metazoa; Chordata; Mammalia; Rodentia; Caviidae.
GGGGGUUUAGCUCAGUGGCAUAAGCGCCUGCCUGGCAAGCAUAAGGUUGUGAGUUUGAUCCCCAGUACCCCCC